Molecule: small nucleolar RNA, 91 nt
Organism: Camelus dromedarius (Arabian camel)
Lineage: Eukaryota; Metazoa; Chordata; Mammalia; Artiodactyla; Camelidae
Gene: SNORA72
Rfam family: Small nucleolar RNA SNORA72
About the family: U72 is a member of the H/ACA class of snoRNAs. The snoRNA gene is located in intron 4 of the ribosomal L30 protein gene in human, mouse and chicken.
Source: Ensembl
UUGUGAAUACUCUCGCUCUUCUGAUUCUGUAAUAAUCUGGGCAGGCUAAACAUCCACUGUAUUAAAACCGUUCAGGGGGAGGGUAGAGCUC